RNAcentral lists this ribosomal RNA (253 nucleotides) under uncultured bacterium. RNAcentral describes it as "partial 16S ribosomal RNA". It matches the Rfam family "Bacterial small subunit ribosomal RNA", at positions 524 to 776 of the family's 1533-position model. The record is from RNAcentral.
UACAGAGGGGGCAAGCGUUAUUCGGAAUUAUUGGGCGUAAAGGGCGCGUAGGCGGCUUUGCAAGUGACGGGUGAAAGCCCUCGGCUUAACCGAGGAACUGCCUGUCAGACUGUAAGGCUUGAGACCGGGAGAGGUGAGUGGAAUUCCCAGUGUAGCGGUGAAAUGCGUAGAUAUCGGGAGGAACACCAGUGGCGAAGGCGACUUCCUGGCCUGUUCUUGACGCUGAGGCGCGAAAGCUAGGGGAGCAAACGGG